UGAGGGACUAUUGAUGCUUUUGGUAUCAGCAGCCACAGAAUUCAUCAGACACAGCACAAAAGAGCAGGAGAAGAGAUAAUGGCAGAUGCCAGAAGGUUGUCCAGCUGGUUACUACCUCUCCUCUUCACCUGAUUAUACCUGAUUACUGCUGACUCGAUGGGCAGGGAGAGUCGCUGACUCCUGACAGAAAGACUCUGUCACCCCUUGCCAUUUAUUUUAGAUCCUGUGAAUCCUACUGUCAAUGUUGUGACACCUGCAAUGCCUGGGAUGAAGCUGCCCAUGUGGUGAGAUGCAGCCUGUGGAAGCCUCUUUUCAGUGGAGUGAGAGCCAAGCCCCCUUGGCUUUUCAUAGACAAUUGGUGAACGGGACAAGGAGACACUGUCCUUGGAUGUCUGAAAAAAAAAGAAAAAGGUUGCAAAACAUGUUGCCAAUAAGAAUGUUGUAGAUGAAAGGCAGGAUGAAGGAAAGUGGUCUUAAUUUAAAUUCUCUAUUUUACUAAACCUACUCUUUAACAAAUAUGUUUAUGUGAGGCAUCAGAAGCAAAUGUAUUUUGGCUUUUAAGAGAAUUAAAAUUGUUUCCCCUAUUUUUUUAUUUGUUUGCUUUGGUGGCUUUGUGACCAAAAAAAUUGUUUUAAUCCAAAUAGCCACAAUAAAUAAAUAAGCAAAUGAAUAAAAUUCCCAGGUCAUUUGAGAGAAAAGAUUAACUGAAAAGGUAAAGCAUCUCCCCCUUUUUAGUUUCAGUUAAUUAUAGUGUCAGGAUGACUUUUUAACUUACCUGGCAAUCUGGAACCUCAUAGAGUCACUUGCGUUUUCAAAAUUUCCAUGUGAAAACAUGAUUGUGCCAAGUACUCCCUAUUAACUUUUAGACAUCAUCUAUAAAAUCACUACAGGAAAAUAUGGAAAUAUCUGAGAGAUACACAGUGGAUCGCCUCAGAAUAAAUCGUUCCCCAAAUCAUUUUAUGACUGCCUGAGUCGGGACUCAUGGGUCAGAGUAGAGUCAUAGUUAAGGUUUGCAACUGGCUUAGUAGCAAGAGGGGAUAAACAAACUAUCCAGGCUGUUGAACUGUCCAGUUUCGCUACAACUGUAUUUACUUGUUGGGAUCAACUGUUUUCUUUCCUAUUAAGGUAUUAGUAGCCACUGAUAAUGGAAGCCAGGGCCCGCUAGAAAUAGACCAGAGGAAAUUUCCUGACUCACUUGCAUAACAACAGUUCAUCAGCACUGAAGAUAUAUGAAGUGUGACUGCAGAGUAAUGGGAGUGAUUAGGUUUCUCUGCACAACAAAACUCUUACAUACAAAUGAGCACUGUCCCCUUCAGGACAGUCCUCAGGGAACCCGUAUGCUUAUUCCGGUGUGUGAUUGGUCUGGAAGCAUUUUUGGAUGCCCUCUGGACAGAAAGUGCUUUUGGACACUGUUAGUGGUGACAAAGUGUGUCCUUUGAGGAUGGAUUAGAUUGUUGGAAAUGAUACAAUGUAUUCACAGUAUACAUCUGUUGUUUUUGUCUACCCAGAAGCCUCUGUCCAAACUUGUGGUUGGAGAGGCUGUAUUUCUUCUGUCGUUCAUUCUGUCUUUGAAGGCUCUCGAGGAGAAAAUAGCUUUUAAUAUCUCUUGGGAAAUGGCCACAUUUUCCCCUGGCAAUUGAACCCAUGGCUUUCUUGAAUGACUACUCCUCAACCAGGUCUAAGUUGUUUAGGUAGGCUGACUUGACCACCAGUUCCAGAGCACAGACAUGUGACGAGCCUGGCCAUAGUCAUUGAUUCAGGGAUGGACACAUGACUGAAACGGCAUGCUGGCAUUUAGUUCUGGUACUUGGAUUUUAACUGUUGGGAGGAGAAUUUCUCACUCUGCUAUGAUAUAAGCAUGAAGCUACUGGCUUCCACUUGCUGCUACAAAGAGCCUGCUUAAAAAUGGAGCCAACAUAAAAGGAAGCAGAUUUAAGACCUGAGCGAUGAGAGCGUGCACAUGUGUGUAUAUCCACAUAAUGAGACUAAGUCUUGAUUUCUGCACCUUGAUCCAGAUAUACCUGGAGCAGAAACUCUGCUGGGACUCUUUUGUAUCAUGAGCCAGUAACCUCCCUAUUUGCCUAGUAGGUUGAUUUGGGCUUCAAUCUUGCAACCAAGUGAGUCCUGACUAAACCAGCAGAAUGGAGCCAGGUAAGGUUCUUUCUCAAGAAGAGAAGAAGGAAGGUAUCAAGACGUUUAUGACAAAUUUCUACUCAACACUGAGCACCUGCUAAGUGCUGGGCCUAAUAGUCGAGAUGCUGCAAUGAACUAGUCCAUUCAGGAUGCUGAGGUGUUUCAGCCUAGAAGAGACUGCUUUUCUUCCUUUGCUCAUGCAGACUCAGGGGGCCAUUCUCAAGGAGGAGUUAGUGACAGGAAUGUCUUUGGCAAAGACAGCACUCUUGAGUGUGGUCAGAACAUGUUAUUUAUUUCCCAAGAUGAUUAGUUUUUGAAGAAGACAACAAAUAGUUGAGGCUAUGAAUUCUAUCUCUGUAAAAAUAGAGUUAUGUUUUCCUCCUGUAGUCAGAUCUCCUGUGGAACGUGAGUAAACAGGAAUUUCUAUGUAUGGAGCAAGGACAGUAUGGUUAGCACAUAAUACAUGUGUUUAUUUCAGAGCUGGGGAGGACUCCUGACCAGCGUGACACCUAACAUUGGAGUGAAGGGGCAGCAGCCACGUGAAACGGAAUGGGAAAUACUCUUCUCCUACCACCAACUUGGCCACUCUCCAGUGACGAGGUUUCAGAAGCAGUGCAUUUUCAAGUUUCUGCCUCAGAAGAGAUCCAGUUUGGCAUUCUGUCUAAGUUCACUGCACAGAGACGGGUUUGGCUCUGUGAUUCAUCAGAAAUAAGAAAAACAAACACUGUAAAUGGAGAACUUGAAAAAGAGGUGGGCACCAUCUCCCCACCCAAGAGAAUGGAUUUAAGAGGAAAUUUGUUUAUGGGAUGAAGUUUUAAAAGGCGACCUGGAAAAUUUAGCAAAGAUGUAAAUAAACAACUCUUCCUUGGAUUGCAUUAGGCUUCAGAAUAAAUAUAUUAACCAGCUUCAGUCAAAGUCUGCCUAGAAUCUGACCCUGACAAGACCCAGUGACUAGUGCUGCUCCGAACCUUCCCCACCAACAGCAGGCAAUUUUCUCUGUGGCAAAGCUACCUCGAAACAGGCAUCCAGGCUUCCCUCCCACGAAGUGAAGAUGAGAAAACUGAGUCUCAGAAUGGACAAGCUCACAGAUGGCAAGUGGUAGAGCAGACUUCACACAUAGCCAUCUGAGUGAGAUGGGAAGCUGAUCCUCCAGCCCUGAUCAAGCCUUCAAAUGACUGCACCUCCAGCUGACAGAUUACCAAAAGCAACCUCCUUCCAGAAGACCUUGAGCCAAAACCACUCAGCUAAGCUACUUCCAGAUCCCUGAUCCUCGGAAACUGUGCGAGACAAUAAAUGUUUAAAUGGCCACCCACUUUGGAAUAAAGAGGACAUAUAAUUUGCCUAAGGUCACAUAGCACUCUCUAAAUCAGUACAGUAUUUUAGACAAAGCUUCAACUUUGCACUUUUAUGGGUCAUUUUGAUAUAAGACUACAAGGAUAUCUCCUCCCAUGACAAACUUGACUUCAUUUACAACAAAAGGCCAAGCAAGAUACAGUACACUGUGGGGAUAAAUGGUACUCACUGAGGACAGGAAUAUGCUGACAUUAUCUCAAUUUCCUCCUCCCUCCUGUUGUUCUCCUUUGGAUGCUUUCCUGGACUAUAGGGAGAAGGAAAAUAGAGAAAGGCCAACUGCGACUAGGCCAGAGAUCAGAUGUUACCUUGUAGGAAGCAUCUCAUUCUAACCUUAAGUACUCUCUUGAUGAAGUACGGGGCCAAGAGAUUUUGGAAUUCUACCACACAAGGUUGCUCAGCAUUCCAAGAAGUAUUGAUAACUCUUCAAGAGCAAAAGUCAUUUAAAUUAAACUUCUCUGGCCGGGCAUGGUAGCUCAUAUCUGUAAACCCAGCACUUUGGGA
RNAcentral lists this long non-coding RNA (3987 nucleotides) under Homo sapiens (human). Its description in RNAcentral is "HSALNT0328465". The record is from RNAcentral. Lineage: Eukaryota; Metazoa; Chordata; Mammalia; Primates; Hominidae.